RNAcentral lists this ribosomal RNA (464 nucleotides) under uncultured bacterium. RNAcentral's name for it is "partial 16S ribosomal RNA". It matches the Rfam family "Bacterial small subunit ribosomal RNA", at positions 338 to 794 of the family's 1533-position model. The record is from RNAcentral.
CCUACGGGAGGCAGCAGUGGGGAAUAUUGCGCAAUGGGCGAAAGCCUGACGCAGCGACGCCGCGUGAGGGAUGAAGGUCUUCGGAUCGUAAACCUCUGUCAGCAGGGAAGAACGGUCACUGUGCUAAUCAGCAGUGAAUUGACGGUACCUGCAAAGGAAGCACCGGCUAACUCCGUGCCAGCAGCCGCGGUAAUACGGAGGGUGCGAGCGUUAAUCGGAAUUACUGGGCGUAAAGCGCUCGUAGGCGGUAUGUCAAGUCAAGGGUGAAAUCCCCGCGCUCAACGUGGGAACUGCCUUUGAAACUGGCGAACUGGGGUGUGUGAGAGGAUAGUGGAAUUCCAGGUGUAGGAGUGAAAUCCGUAGAUAUCUGGAGGAACACCAGUGGCGAAGGCGGCUGUCUGGUCUGCAACUGACGCUGAGGCUCGAAAGCAUGGGUAGCGAACAGGAUUAGAUACCCUUGUAGU